AUGCUUCUCUUGUCGGUCUGGAGUUGGGAACGCUUGCCAGUUGGGCGGCCAACGCCUACGGGUCUUGGUUAUGAGCCAUGGGAUGAUCAUGAUGACCCGCACCGUAUGCCUACAUGGGCGUAUAAGUGGGACAAGGUUGAAGGUUUUGUUGGCAAUUCAAAGACCAUGUAUUUGCACUAUUGCAACGAGCUCGACAUCAUGACCCCGGAGCAGGUUAGUUUGUUGGCUGUGUUGCCCCUUCGGUUUUCCAAAAAUCAUAGUAAGCAUCUAUUUUAUUAUUUGACGCUACAGGUGACCUGGGAGCCAUACAGAAUGGCAGGCAAUAUUGGCAGAAGUCUCACUUUCAGAUUGAACCGAAAGUUUUAUGAAGAAGCAAACCUAUGGCGGAUGCGUUGCCCAUUGAUUUGUUACUAUGCUGUUGAGUUUCAUCAGCCACAACGGGUUAUGACACAGUUUGGCUUAUAUCAGGAGACCCCGCCAAAGUACAAGGACACUUCGAUACAUCUGCAUAGGUAA
RNAcentral lists this ribosomal RNA (516 nucleotides) under Triticum aestivum (bread wheat). RNAcentral's name for it is "partial small subunit ribosomal RNA". The record is from RNAcentral. Lineage: Eukaryota; Viridiplantae; Streptophyta; Magnoliopsida; Poales; Poaceae.